GAUUCUCGUAAUGAUGAUGGCAUUAAGAGCUUCUUCCAAGAGGUGCAUGAGCUUUACAUAAAGGUAAUCUUUCCUUUACUGCACUCUAUAACGUGGUUAAUAUGCUGCCUUUCUUUAAUUAUUUGUUAACUUUCAUUCUAUCUGUUAGGAUAUAGAAUAAUGGCUAAUUAGAAUAGUUAAUGUAGUUAAGAGUUGUAAAGUUAGUUAGUUACUUACUAUUAGUUGGUUAUUUGGAUUAGUUAGAAAGUAUAAAUAAAAGAACACAAAGGGUAGAUGUCAUCUUUUGAAUAUUGUGAAGUUUGUGAAUACAAUAGCAUAAAUGAAUUGAUAGAGUUCAUGAUUCAUGAUAAAGUCCAUGCUUGCCAAUUCUUGAAGUAUGCUUUGAUGGCUAGACAAAUACAACAAUAGCUGCUGUAAUAUUUUUUUUCUGGUUUCAUCAAUGUUAAAUGAACCAUGUUGUACAUGUUACCUCCUUAUUAGUAAUUAGCAUUUAUAUGUUUCAAAUAGCAGGCAUAUGCCUAUUUGCCAGGGUCGGAUGUAGGUUGUGGGAUUUGUGGGCUUGUGCCCACACAAAAUUUUUAGAAACAAUUUUUUUGGUAGUAUAAUGUAUCAAUAGUUGACAUUUUGAUCACAUGGAUCACACUUAUCAGAAAUCAUUUCUCUCUUGGCCCACACUUAUCAUCAUAUAUCUCAAACUAUUAUUAACAAUUAGAUGCGAAAUCAAGUAGGGGAUGACUGGUUAAAUGGUUGUUUAAUUAUUUUAGAGACAUAUUAUUCAAAGUUUCAAUAAUAUGAAUAAUCGUAGAGGACAAUUAUUAAUGCUACAAAUUUUUAUAUAUAGUGCCCCCACUAUUCAAAAAUCCUGGAUCCGUCACUGCUAUUUGCCCAGCAUAUACCUGGUACAUAUUUUGAGUAGAACGACAAAGUUGUGUUUUCAAUUUUUUUAAUAAAAGUUUGUUGAAUUCCAUUUUAGGUGUGUUAUGAUGUUGACUUGGCCGUUUUAGAUAUAUACACUCUUCUUACUAUCAAUAUUUCACCGUAGGAGACAUGUUUAGUUGCCUUGUAUAUGACUACACCUCUUCUUAAUAUAUCAAUAUUUCAUCGUAGGAGACAUGAUUAGUUGCUUUGUAUAUGACUACCCCCCUUCUUACUAUCAGUAUUACACCGUAGGAGACAUGAUUAGUUGCCUUGUAUUCGACUAGUACAUCAUUUUGAACUAGAAUAUCGAAAACCACAUUUUAAUUUUUUAACAAAAGUUCCCCGAAUUCCAUUCUGUUUUGCAUUAUAGGAUUUGUAUUAAUUUUAUUUGUAUGUUUGGAAAAUUGCAGACUCUUCUUAAUCCUCUAUACUUGCCUGGCUCCCGAAUCACAUCAUCACAUUUUGAUACAAAAGUACGUGCCCUUGCACGAAAGUAUUUGUAGAAACUACUAGUCUGCUUUUGAUGAUCUGUGGUUGACUAGUUGCUUGUUCACAAAGCAUUGAGGCCCUUCUCCUACCUUAGUUCUUGAUUAGCUUUGAAAAGCUUUUUUCUUUUACGACAAUGGUAGAUUUCCUGUUGUCUAUAGAAUUGUGUACUCCAGUCAUUAGCAGAAGGCCGUGUUUGGAAGGUCGUACGUCGACAAAAGUUGUUACAUUGCUAGUGUUACAAUUUGCGAUGCUUACUGAUGUUGUUCUUGAUGAUCAACUAUUUGAUUUUAAGUGGCAAAGAAAUAUUAUUGCCCCCUUUGUGCUUCAAAAGUUUGACAGUAAACUAUCUCUUUAUUCAUUUUGAAAGAUUACUGUGUCGUUGUGUUUUCUAAACACCUUUUUCAGCACGUUUCUUUUUAUAAGUUGUUUUCCUUAUAUUUUGUGAAAGACAUAUAUGAUAAUGUAAAAAAUUAGUUUAAUUAAAAAUUAAGGACAUUUUACCAGUACUAUAAAAAAAGAGCAUCUUUGUCUAAUGUUGAUUACUUAAUAGUUAACAAUAAUUUAUAUCGAA
Molecule: long non-coding RNA, 1978 nt
Filed under: Medicago truncatula (barrel medic)
Lineage: Eukaryota; Viridiplantae; Streptophyta; Magnoliopsida; Fabales; Fabaceae
Description: lncRNA gene6052
Source: RNAcentral